GGGUGGCCCGAGGAGGGACGAGACAGGCCGGACAGAAUGCGCCACGUUUCAGAAUUAAUGGAAAAAGAGCUCACAUUGGUAUCGUGCUUUGCAGUUUGUGAAACACUUUUUUACCCAGUUUAUGUCACAAGACAGACAUUAUUCACAUUUUAGAGAAAAAGAUCCGGAGCUCCCAUGGGCCAGUAGACUUGCCUGAGAUCACACAGCACGUUCGUAGCAGGACGGAGACUAGAACUUGGGUCUCACGGUUGCUUUCAACUGCACUGUGCCGGAUCUCUUGGCAGGAACCCACCGGCCACACUGCCCUCUUCGGGGCCGUAGGACCCCUAACUCCACCCCCCUCCCUGGCAGCACCUCGAGCAGAAGGCCGAGUUCUGAAGACCCUCCUUGACGCUCCAUUUCUGGGUGCCAAGGAAGCUGGAGGAAUCCCUGACUCAACUUCCCCGAAGGAGGCCUCUGUGGCGGCCAGGGUCCCCCCCUGGAGCUGCUGGGAGGCGGCGCUGGCUGCCUGGAUGCUGACCCCAGCGCGGCGGGCAGAGCGGGGCCCACUCUUCUUAGCUUUUCUACUCACUGUUAGAGAGAGACCUAGCUGAGCGGCUGGCAGGAAGCGGGACAGGUCUAGGAGUCCCUUAGGGAAUAAACCAGCCCCGUUUCUAUCAGCCCGGCCAGCAUGCAGGUCUCCACAUCACCAUCUAGAGUAUCACGCACACAUCUACCAUAUAUACAGAUAUAUUCUAUAUACGAGCUAUAUAUAAAUAUAUAUAUACAUAUAUAUAUACACACAUACAUAUCUAGAAUGUGUAUCCGCGGCGCCCAGAAGCCUCGGUUUGGCCCACCUGUGA
This 842-nucleotide long non-coding RNA is filed under the name Homo sapiens (human). RNAcentral describes it as "non-protein coding lnc-RHBDF2-2:1". Lineage: Eukaryota; Metazoa; Chordata; Mammalia; Primates; Hominidae. The record is from RNAcentral.